This is a small nuclear RNA of Octodon degus (degu), 163 nucleotides long. Its record names the gene U1. It matches the Rfam family "U1 spliceosomal RNA". From Rfam's summary of the family: U1 is a small nuclear RNA (snRNA) component of the spliceosome (involved in pre-mRNA splicing). Its 5' end forms complementary base pairs with the 5' splice junction, thus defining the 5' donor site of an intron. The record is from Ensembl. Lineage: Eukaryota; Metazoa; Chordata; Mammalia; Rodentia; Octodontidae.
AUACUCGCCUGCCAGGGGAGAUACCAUGAUCACAAAAGUGGUUUGCCAGGGUAAGGCUCAUCCAUCGCGCUCCCCAUGUGCAGACUCCUGUGAUUUCCCCAAAUGUAAGACUCUCAACUGCAUGAUUUGUAGUAGUGGGGGACUGCGUUUGUGCUUUCCCCUG